Lycium barbarum (goji berry) is the source of this 1053-nucleotide long non-coding RNA. RefSeq lists it as uncharacterized. NCBI's taxonomy places the organism in Eukaryota, Viridiplantae, Streptophyta, Magnoliopsida, Solanales, Solanaceae. The record is from RefSeq and is a predicted model, not a curated record. The transcript is spliced from 2 exons.
UAUCCCCCCUGCUAGAGUAUCUGGUUCUUUAUACAUAUUUGUCAAAUCAUCAAAACAAUAAAAACACAGUGACCUUAUCACGUACGACCACAUUGCUAUCUGGAACAACCAUGAAUAGGUGACAGAUUCAUCAUUUACAUUUAUGAAUAUUUUGGUCAUGUAACGUCAAUUGUUAUGGUGUACUAUUUUACUUUCUUUUUCAAAGGUGAUGGCUUUCAGUCUUUUAUUCCCCCUACCUCACCAAUAAAAUAAAAAAAUAAAAAAACACAAUUCUAAUUAGAUAUAGUCCCACUUUCUGUCUGAAUAAAGUUGGUUAGAGAGUGGAAGAAAGAAGAAGAACAAAAAUCAAAGUCAAAACAAAAAGAAAAAAGAAUUUCAAAGGUUACGUUUCUUAAUUUGCCAGUUUUUAACCUCCCUAUCUUAAUUAUAUCUCUUCCGUAAAACUCCUUUUCAUAAUGUCUUUCUCCUUUUCCUCUCUUCCUCCCACUCACGAGAAAAGCCAUCAAACAUGGAUACAUCAACCACUCUAGUGAUUGUAACAAGUUUGGUGAAGAGAUCGGGGCGGGCAACGGAAGCGAUGGCACCAAUCAUGGCACAUAGUCUCCAACUUAAAUGCAACGAGGAAUUUGGAGUUCUUCCAAAAGAGCGAUCACAUCACAGACAUAUGUGAAUAUCUUUCGAAGUCAAAGUAGUGGGGAUUGGUAGUUCAAUCACCCAUAUUGUCAAAUAAGACAACCUUAUAAUCGUCAACUAUAUGAGGAACCAGAUGUUUUCACUGAUUGGUCUGUUCCAAACCCAUGAACUAGGACUAUGGUUCGAUAGAUCCCCUAUUCCUAAAAUCUUUGCGUUGUGCUUCUUCAACUAUCCCCAUCUCACGUUUCCUUUCUUUAAUUUGUGGAAAUCAAGGAUGUGUGAUUUUGGUCUCUGAUGGUGAAAAAAGGGUGUAAGGGAAAGAUAAAAUGUGGACUUCUUAAUACGUUUGCUUUGUUUGAGUAUCAGUCUUGAGAAUGAAAGCAAAGGAUGGAUGAUUAUAACCUCAUUUUUUUGGUGUUC